GACGAACGCUGGCGGCGUGCUUAACACAUGCAAGUCGAACGUGAUUUUUGUGGAAAUUCUUUCGGGAAUGGAAAUGAAAUGAAAGUGGCGAACGGGUGAGUAACACGUGAGCAACCUACCUUACACAGGGGGAUAGCCGUUGGAAACGACGAUUAAUACCGCAUGAGACCACAGAAUCGCAUGAUAUAGGGGUCAAAGAUUUAUCGGUGUAAGAAGGGCUCGCGUCUGAUUAGCUAGUUGGAAGGGUAAAGGCCUACCAAGGCGACGAUCAGUAGCCGGUCUGAGAGGAUGAACAGCCACAUUGGAACUGAGACACGGUCCAAACUCCUACGGGAGGCAGCAGUGGGGAAUAUUGCACAAUGGGGGGAACCCUGAUGCAGCGACGCCGCGUGAGCGAAGAAGGUUUUCGAAUCGUAAAGCUCUGUCCUAUGAGAAGAUAAUGACGGUAUCAUAGGAGGAAGCCCCGGCUAAAUACGUG
RNAcentral lists this ribosomal RNA (478 nucleotides) under uncultured bacterium. RNAcentral's name for it is "partial 16S ribosomal RNA". It matches the Rfam family "Bacterial small subunit ribosomal RNA", at positions 28 to 507 of the family's 1533-position model. The record is from RNAcentral.